Molecule: long non-coding RNA, 6298 nt
Organism: Acinonyx jubatus (cheetah)
Lineage: Eukaryota; Metazoa; Chordata; Mammalia; Carnivora; Felidae
Exons: 9
Source: RefSeq, a predicted model, not a curated record
GGCUUGGGUCACAUGAUGGCCUAGACCAAUCACCGGGCAAGUGGCACAAGAUUGGCACGACGGCUCAGCCAAUCAUAAAAAGCUAUGGGCAGGGCCAAGGCUGCUCCUCUCUGAGGACUUCCAGGCUCCCCACGGGAUGCGCUUCUGGAGCAGGUAUAGUGGAAAGAAUGUUCCAGAAGUCCCCAUGCCGCCCCAGGGGCAGCUCUGGGACGCACUAGGAGACCUGCCCCAGAACCACCGUGGUUCGCUCCUGCCUGCACACUGUCUCCCCUGGCCUGUGGAGACCGGGUGGAUGCCGUGGUAGCCUCAGCCGCACAAUAGCGGGGUGUGGAAAAUCGGGGUGUGGGGGCGGGAAAUGGGGAGAGACAGACCGCAGGAGAAUCGGAGUGGGGGGGAGAGGAAGGACCUGGGGACAGGGCGGGACAGGCAGGAGUCAGGCCAAGGCCAGAUGUGCACACGGACUCUCCACGAAGCCAGAUGAGCGCGGAUGAAGAUGCCCACUUGGGCGGGGCUUCCCAGAAGGGUGACAGGGCGGCUGGCCACCCCCAUGCUGGUGUGUGGACGGUGUCACCCUCCUGAUGUCUGCGUCGGAGCCUGGGAUCCAAACAGGAAGCGUGUCAUUGUCAGUCUUGCCACCGCUCGCCCCCUUGCUGCCGCAGUAACACGUCACCUGUCGGAGGCCGAGCACCGAGGCGUCUACUUCUCACCGGUGCCGGGUCCAGCACGCAGGGACGUGGCAAUAGAACAAGAAGCCCGUUUGCACGCGUUGGAAGCACCGGUGUGACUGUGAGGUUGUCGUUGCCUCCUCGCGGACCAGCCUCACGGUGCGAAGCCGCGGACGGUCGCGGCUCCACCCCGGCCUGGACCCGCAGCCUGCAGCCCAAGGUCACCAGCAGAGUCUUCUUUCCCACGCAGGGAGCAGCCGUCCUGUCCGCCGCCUCCUCCCUCGGCACCGCGUGCCUGAGCCAGCAUUCCGUCCGAGUGUUGUUGCACCUUCCUUCCUGGACUUGCCUGGGUCACGCACUCAUCCCCGAACAGGCACGGCGGCCUGAGGGAGGCAGCGCGCUGUUAACUCAGGCCACGUAACGGGUUGCUUCCCAGCCACGGAUGGAGUCAACUUCGACUUACGUGGGCUGCAGGAGCUAAUCUCCAGGGACACACGUGGACCCUCGCCAGCCCAGGGAUCGUGCCUCGGGAUCUACAGAACACGGCUCACGGACUUGUCUUCAUCUUCCCUAGCUCCCCCGGUUGCUGAGGCAGUGGAUUUCAAAGACCCUGUGAUGCCUUCACUGCAGCUACAGUUCAGGGUGUUUCUGAAACGCCUGUUGACUCUGAGGUUGUGAUCUUACUGAGACAGUUACCGAGGAGAAGGCAAGUAGGCAUGAUAAGAGAGAGAAGUUAAAGAAGAAGUUUUGCAAGGAGCUUCAAUGCAGUUCCAUCCACACGUUCAUUCUGUUCCAUCCCACCCCUUCCACUCACUUCACCCAUUCCAUUCCAUGCACUCCGUUCCAUCCCUCUGAUGAUUGUUAAUGUCUUGCCACAUCCAGACACCAAAUCUAUGCAAGUGCCCCUUUUGUCUCUAUAGUAGUCACCCUUCCGUCCCCAUCUCUGAGAAGACCACAGCCACUGGUCGAGUCAUAGAUGGUCGACUGCACUCAGGACGAUGAGGACUGUCACUCUCACUGCCAUCUCCCGUUCCAGCCUCCCUGGGUCCAUACUUGAGGACCUUUCCUCCCCACGACACUCAUUGGAGCAUAAUUCCCUGGAGAUUCAUCCAAAUUUUUGCAUACGUCAGCAAUUCAUUCCUUUCCAUCAUUGCACAGUGUUCCACGGCCCGGGUGUAGUUUGUUGGGCCAUUCACCCGUUGAAGGACAGCAGGGCUGUCUCGGGUUUUGGGGCUGUUAUGAAUAGAGCUGCUGGAAACAUUCACGUGCAGUUUCCUGUAGGAACAUUUCUUCUCUCUGGGAGAAACGCCCAAGAGCGCAGUCGUGGGAUCGUGUGGUUGUAGGUGUAGUUUUAUAUGAAACUGCCAAACUGGUUUCCACGGCAGCUGUACCAUGACACGUUCCCGCCAGCAACGUGUGACUGACCUGAUUCCCCACCUUCUAAGUAUUUGCUGUUCUCACUUGCAACUUUCUAUUUUAGCCGUUCCGAUAGAUGUGUCGUUUUCGUUUGCAUUUUCCUGAUGGGUAGUGAUGUGGAGCAUCUUUUCAUGGGUUUAUUUGCCAUUCAUACGUCCUCUUUGGUGACACGUCUGUUCCUGUGGUUUGUGCACUCUCUAAUAGGAUUGUUUGUAUUUUCACUGGUUAACUCUGAGAGUUGUUAACGUAUUCCGGACAUUAUUUCUUUGUCAGAUGUACGGUUUGCCAGUGUUUCCUUCCAGCCUGUAGCUUGUCUCUCCGUCCUCUUCACAUGGGCUCAUGCAGAGCUGAGGUUUUCCGUUUGGGUGAGGUUCCCUCCUAGACAGCCCACUUCUAACCUGUUGACUUGACCUCCAAACUUUCCCGGUCUCCACCCACCUUUCUCCAUCUCCAUGGGUGCCUUCUAAAGCUGUGUGCUGUGGGCUACUCCUCCCAUAGUCCCGGUGGCCCUCCCUUCUCCACCCUGGAGGUGUUGGUAGAACCUCCCAGAGAAGGCCUCCUACAGACCCUCCCUGCAGGCAGACGCAGCCCAUCUCACGCCCUCCGCCAGGCAUCAGACGAGGCGGCUGAUGGCUUCCGAAACAGACAUGUCAGAAUUUGCCAUUUGUAGUCAGUUGCCAGUGGACUUUAGAACCUAGGUGUCAUGUUUUUGCCUCGUUUAAAGUUUCUUUUUUAUUAUCCUGAGUUUUAUUUUGAGAGAUGGCAGGAAAUUGUCAUAUUAUCAUUAGAGGAACGUAUUCUGUUCUCGUUUUGGCCAGUUACAUGCGUUCCUCUACGUUAGUCUCGUUUUUCUUUUCUUUGGUGGCAGUGAUGGGCAUAGUGAAUUUAGGCAUUUAUAAACCAUUGCUUGCUGGAGUUUCUUUGUUAGCUUCUUAAUUCUCAUCGUCUGGGAGCAGGAAACUUCAUAACAGGAAUAGUGAGGCUUUCCCGUAGGCUAAGAUCUAGAUCAGCCACUGGGACCAGCGUCCUCUGCAGACCGCACAAGCGGCCUGCACGCACCCCGGCCAGUAGCUGCCGGCUGUCACAGUUCAGACAGGAUGUUAGCAGAGGAGAACGUGGAGUAAGGUGGAGUCUCCCGUUUCUGGUGCAGGCGAUCUGGAGGCAAGACAGCAGUUAUUAGAGAGAUUUUUUUUUUUUUUUAACCAGCGGAAAAUUUCUUCUGUCUUUCCUCACAGCGUGGGAGAUUCCAGACUUCAGCAUCAGAAAUGUAUUUGAACCCACCAGUCUCAGUAGUGUAUUUGUCACAAAUGGGGCUAAACCCACCAGCACGGCCAAGUUACAUCUGGGUAAUGAGCCAAGAGUCUGCUCUUCCCACUGAAAGUGGGAUUUAACUUGGCAUUUCAUCAGAAAGAGGAGAAGAUGCAUGUGUUUUCACAUCUUCUCAUUUCUGACCGUCUGAGCAUCAGUCAGCACCCCAAGUUAUCAAGUCAGAAUGCAGUGGAACUGUUCUGUGAGGUGUGGAGCCACAUUCCUGAUUCGGGUUCCUUGGAGCCCUGAGCAGACGGAUCUCCCGUGGACCCGCUGGAACACGGAGCUGAGAGCCUGCUCCGUGUCAGUGAGGCCACUGUGGCUUUCAGGGCAUUUGACAUCGAGCUCGUGUUUCUGGGGACCCAGAAGAAGAGCCUUCAGGGCUCUUUGAGGAAGGACUUGCAAGAGAAGAAUCCUCCACCCCAAGGGAACACAGCAUCGUGUCUUGCCUGGUGCGUGCACAGCCCCCUGACUGGUCUAGUGGCUUCCACAGAUGUUCCCUCACCCCCUCUGCACUCCUGGGGCAGACUGAAUGAGCUUUUAAAGAAACACAUCUCGUCCUUUGCCCCUUCUGCUGGGGACCUGCCCUGCUCCCCUCACACCUGAUUGUUGAAGCACGUGUGGACGACUCACCAGGCCCUUGUUGGCGCAUCGGCAGACUGGAAACCCUGCUCGCCCUUUCCACGUGGACCAGUGUCCUCAUGCCCGGGCCUGGCCAGGGGCUCGCUCCCCAUGUCUGAGGGCGCCGAGUCCCCGCUGCGGCCGCUGGCUCAGGGCCCAACUGGGGUCCGAUGGAGGGGGCGGCAGAGCGGGGCUGCAGUGCAGGAGUGCUUCCUGGUGGCAAUGGUGAGGCGGCCUCCUGAGGACGCUGGUGAUGGGGCGGCGUCUCCCCUCCACUUUCCUCUUGUGUCUUCAUCGGUAAGGAUGUUUGAACACGAGUGACCCUGACUGACCCUGGCUGCUUGAUGCAGAAGAGGAAACAGCUCGGGUGACCUGGAAGGGCAGUGGGGGCAGGGCUGACUGAAUGCCAUCAGAACGUCCCCUCCCAGCUCUGGUGGCAGCUUCACUGCAGCCGGAUAGAGGGUGCACAGCCGGCUGGGUCCCUGGUGACAGGAGUCCCCUCCAGGGGGCUGGUGCCCUUGGUGAAAAUCAGGGUGCAAUGAGCCAAGAGAUGGGUCUGGAGAUGCGGGUGCAAGUUCUCCUGAGCUCUGGGCCAGGCGGGUGGGCGGGGCGUGGGCACAGGGCGGGGGGGCCAGGGGGGCAGGUGAGCGAGGCCCAGGUGACGUACUUGUGAACCUCUUCAGCGGGGCGCUAGUAGGUCAACGUGAGGCAGAGGGAUGGACAGAAAUGUGAGUCAGCGGGUGAGGGGCAUGGAGGUCACCGGUUAGGACCCUCCUGGGCAGCUCCGCGGGGCAGAAGCCAGGCCCCUUAAAGCCUACUUUCCACUCUGAGUGGAACUGAUCGCCGUUAGCGGAAAAUAAAAUGGAAACGUUUGGCCUGUUAGUCGUGACAGCCCUGGAGCCAGGCUCUAAAUUAGAUCAGCCUCUCGCAGUGUUUUAAACCUGUGCCGGCUCUCACAGAAUAGAAAAUAUUAUCUCCUUGGGAGGUGCUGCUGCGGGCCCCUCGGGGCCAUGUCUCUGGUUGAGGAGCUGGGUAUCUGCAAAUGUUCCAUCCGAGGACGUGUUAGGGAAGUCCGCUUUGCAGUUUGUGUUAUUAAAACAAUAUUUUUCCCAGCGGAAGACUGUUUGAGAGAGACACAGAGAGAGAGAGAGAGACAGAGAUUACUUCUAUCGAUCAUAAACUCUUUUGGUCAGACCUAGGCUAUAAAGCAGUUUAAUAAAUUAGCAAGGAAGGUUUUUUUCUGGCUGUGGAAAAUGUGUGUCUCCUGAGAAAUGCUGUUGGAAACAAGCGGUUAGGAUGGUUAGUGCUCACCCUGUACUGUUACAGAGGAUGUGGCCGCAAAGCCCGCUGCCCCGGCCCUACAGCCGAUGACUCAGGAGUGGGAGUGGGGAGGACACAGCGUGUAGCCUCGGCAUCCAGGUGAAGAGUGGGCUACCGUUCUGGGCACUGACUUGACAUGCGACCCCAGUGGAUCCCCCUUUCCGGCUCCCCUCGCAGCCCCCUCUCCUCCCACCUCCCAGAGCACAGGGCCUCCAGCCUCCAGCCAGGACCCCCCGGUGGAGUCCCCACCGCGGUGAGGGGACGGCUCCUGUGAGAACAUCCCGUGGGGCAGGGGCGGCUGGAGCUCUGCUGAACUUCACUCGUGCCCCUGGGCCCUGCUGCUCAGCCUCGGCAGAGAGGGGCUGUGAGGCCCUGCCUGAGCACCAGGCCAGCGUGACUCUGCGGGCCGCACUCAGGCCUGGGUGCUCGGCGCAGGGGGAAUGGGGAGUGGGCGUCCCCAUCGCUGUCCUUGCGGCCAGACCUGCCCACGUGCUCUCCUGGGGCAGCCGCCUUUCUCCCGGGCGGUAUCUGGACGGGGGUCCUGUGGGCCGACAGCCCGAUACGUGGUGUUAAGUUCUGUGAGGGCCUGACGUUUUACUUCUGGUUCCCUUCCCUCUUAGUCUCCCCUGGCAGCAGCGGCAUUUGAGGGUACGAGGGUGAGAAGUAUGUGAUUUUGUGCUUGUUCAGAACCAACAGCCAGCCCGAUGGGAACUCACUUUGCUCACCACCGGACCCAAGGAGGGCAGUCCAGGGCUGGUGUGGCCGCCGAGGUGCCCUGAGCAUCUGCCACGGCGUGUGGCCUGGGCAUCCCAUGCUCCUCUGUGCUACAAGAGGGCUGCUCCACCUCUCCCAUCACAGCUGUGUUCCUGGCGAGACAACAGUGAGGCCGAGUCCACCCCUUAAAGGAACCCGCCACCUAGGAUUCCCGCUCCUCUGCCCCCAUCGGGUUGGUGGGAACCAUGCAGGUG